UCCAGUGCGCCGCCACCCCUUGCCACGCUGCUGCGCGCCGCCGGGCGCGACGACGGCGAUCUCCGGCCAGAUUCGGUCGAGGAGGCGAGGCAGUGGCCGGAUCCUGUUCCGGAGACGGCGUGGAGGUGAUCCAGGAGACGCGGGAGGAGGUCUAGCAGCGGGGCUUGAACUCCAAGUUCAUGGCGUUGGUGUUCGUCGCCGGUUCCGAGCGAGAUGGCGAGCUCCGGCUGAGUCUCUACAUGGAUACGGUGGCGUUGCGACACGGCGUCGACGGGAGGCGAUGGAGAUGAGCAGCUUCUGUCCAUCCUGCAGCAAUGGCGAAGCUAAUGCGGAAGUAUGCGUGUGUGAAGACCUGGUGUUCCUGGCUUCCGGCGGCCCAUGGUGGGGGAGGACCAAGUGAUGGCCUUCUUCGGCGACUUCAUGGGCGUGUCAGCCCUCAUCUCCACUUCGUCAUCGACGACAUCUACGACCACGACACCUGGCACCUUGGGUAUGAUUGUCAUAUGUGCAAUGGGUGCAGAGUGGAAGGGGCUGCCAUUCAAGUUCAGCAGGGGCUGCACCUUCUACCGCAGUGAGCCCGACCCGCAUCGGUAGCAGCGGAUUCAGAUUGUGACCGGCAUUGCAUGCCAGCAGUUUCACACCAAAGGAAAGAUAAGGGAAGCAGAAGCAGACUCUGCACGACGAGG
Triticum dicoccoides is the source of this 686-nucleotide long non-coding RNA. RefSeq lists it as uncharacterized. The transcript has 4 exons. NCBI's taxonomy places the organism in Eukaryota, Viridiplantae, Streptophyta, Magnoliopsida, Poales, Poaceae. The record is from RefSeq and is a predicted model, not a curated record.